CUCACCGGAUCUUGAAGGUACUAAAGAUGUCCAAGCCAUCUCUGGAGGUGUGAUCGCUUCCUCGGUUGGUCCUUUUCCCCGUCCAGGAGAUCCGAUUAGGGUUCAAUGAGGGGCAUAGAUCCGCGUCGUCUCAAGCCAAUUGAACUUCUCAUUCAUCCUCUUCAAUUCGUUUGCUGGAGAGUGAUCGGUUGCUCUUCAUCAACCGGAUUGGAGUAGGCGAUGGCACCUGGAAAGGACCAAAUCUAGGUUGUUCUUGUUCUGGAUUGGAGGAAGGCAUCGGAUCAAGGUAUUGGUAGAUUUCUCUUCUACCGAUCACUGCUUCUCCACUUCUUGAAGCUGUGGAGGUCACGGGUGAGGAGGCAAGGGACUAUUGAGGACUUGGAUUCGGGACGAGUGUCUCGACGUGGGAUUAUUUGGCACGAUCGACAGAUCAAGG
Zingiber officinale is the source of this 436-nucleotide long non-coding RNA. RefSeq lists it as uncharacterized. The record is from RefSeq and is a predicted model, not a curated record. The transcript is spliced from 3 exons. NCBI's taxonomy places the organism in Eukaryota, Viridiplantae, Streptophyta, Magnoliopsida, Zingiberales, Zingiberaceae.